Molecule: RNase P RNA, 411 nt
Filed under: Verrucomicrobiales bacterium
Lineage: Bacteria; Pseudomonadati; Verrucomicrobiota; Verrucomicrobiia; Verrucomicrobiales
Description: RNase P RNA component class A
Rfam family: Bacterial RNase P class A
About the family: Ribonuclease P (RNase P) is a ubiquitous endoribonuclease, found in archaea, bacteria and eukarya as well as chloroplasts and mitochondria. Its best characterised activity is the generation of mature 5'-ends of tRNAs by cleaving the 5'-leader elements of precursor-tRNAs. Cellular RNase Ps are ribonucleoproteins.
Source: RNAcentral
CUGGAAGGGUGGAGGAUCGCUCCGAGCUUCGCUCGGGGAGGAAAGUCCGAACUCCAUAGGGCGCGAUGCCGCGUAACCCCGGUCGACAGGCCGGGGAUACACGCGGGGACCCGGGGUAAUAGCGGGUCACGGACAGUGCCACAGAGAAUAUACCGCCUCGGCGCUGGCAACAGCAUCGAGGUAAGGGUGAAAAGGCGGGGUAAGAGCCCACCGCCUUGGGUUAAACCCAAGGGCAUGGAAAACCCCAUCGGGAGCAAGGCCAAAUAGGGGACCUCGAGGCGGCUCGCCUCAAGUCCAGCCUAACCGCUGGACGGGUCUCGGGUAUCGGCUGCUGAGACAAAUGAUCCUCUCCUUCUCGGGGCUUCGGCCACGGGAGGCAGACAGAAUUCGGCUUACAACCCUUCCAGAAUC